Molecule: small nuclear RNA, 59 nt
Filed under: Mustela putorius furo (domestic ferret)
Lineage: Eukaryota; Metazoa; Chordata; Mammalia; Carnivora; Mustelidae
Source: RNAcentral
GAUUAGCAUGGUCCCUAUGCAAGAAUUACACGCAAAUUUGUUAAACGUUCCAUAUUUUU